This is a long non-coding RNA of Diospyros lotus (date-plum), 1408 nucleotides long. RefSeq lists it as uncharacterized. The transcript is spliced from 3 exons. The record is from RefSeq and is a predicted model, not a curated record. NCBI's taxonomy places the organism in Eukaryota, Viridiplantae, Streptophyta, Magnoliopsida, Ericales, Ebenaceae.
GUAAGGCAACCCGUAAGUGUUUCGGGUCAAAUAAAGGUCCCGUGCAGGCACAGGGACAAGGUCGGUAUUCCCGAGUAGCGGUCGGUUAUUAAUUUUGAUAAAUCAAGAUUUGGUGUAGCUUGAUGGUAUAAUUUAAAAUCUUGGGAGGGUCAAAGAGCAAUUAUAGAAAAAUCCCCAAGUGAAAUUAUUAAUUUUCUCAAGUGUAAUUAAUGAAAAGCAAUGGGGUUAAUAUGUAAUUGUAUAUAUAUGUAUAUGUGUGUAAGUACUGCCCGCGUGAGAGGAAGCUUCAAGGAAGUUUCCUAUGUAAUUGCCUCUGCCAUUUUGAAAUGGCCGAGUGAUGCAAAAUGGGAAAAGGCUUGGCCGUGAGAGGCAUUGCGCGCACAAAAGAGGGAGAGAUCGCAAGAGCGUGAGAGUGAGAGUGAGCUCACGAGGGAGAGACCGAGAAAGGAGAUGGCUGUGCUCGCCAUGGAAGAGCAGCCUUGAGCUGCUGUUUGCAGUGACCGAGGGAAGCAAGGCCAAUCGGCCAUGGGGACGCGAAGAAGCAGCAGCAACCGUCGAUGGUGAUCGGCGAGGCGCUCGCAACGGAAGGAAGAAACGACCAGGAGCUUGGAGGUCGGCCAUGGCAGUCGGCAGUUACAGCGAGGCAGAGCAGCGGCGGACAUGCGGAGGGUCCCAAUGGAGGCCGGCCUCGUAGCAGCAGCCGGGAGCGGCGGUUUUGAUAGCUUGAAGAAGCUCCAACACCGGCGUGGCAAGCUUCAAUGGCCGAUUAUGGCCCCUGGUUUGCAGUGAUGGUUGGUCAGGCGCAAGCUGGAGGCGCACGCACAGAUGGUGGUUCGCGGUGGAGGCUGGCAUCAACGUUGGUUGCGGUGCAGCCAGUCGUGGCCGGCGACGACGGCCUGGCCGUGAGCAGCAUCAACAACCGAUUGCUGGUGCGCGCCAUGGAGGGAGCAGCUGCGCAUGCGCCAGAGAAGAAGAAGACGAUGAACAGGGAGGAGGGAGAAAAUAAAGAGAAAAGAAAAAGAAAAAUAGAAAAGAAAAAGAAAUAUGGAAAAUUUUGGAAAAUAGGAGAAAAUCCCAAAAAAUGGGGGAAAGGUCUGGAAAUUAAUUUGGGGCUCGAGGAGUGGGCCGGAGGUUCGAUAUGGGAAUCCGAGGGCAUUAUGGCGGUCCAAUAGGCGAUGCUAAUGUGGACGAUUAGCCAAUUUUCUCUUCCAGAUUAACUGAGGUUCGACUGGGGAGGCAGGUGAUCCUAGAAGAGCUCGGAGUUCGUGCUGGGUUCGUGCCGAGGUAGAGAUAAGGCUUCGAGCCAGAUGAUGCAAGUCUGGAUACAAGCAGGGAUGGCACCGAGAGGCUGUUGUGGCAACUAGCUGUGUUGCCCGAGUUAUGUAUUUUUAAUAUUGCUUGUAUGUAG